UAACACAGGUGCUGCAUGGCUGUCGUCAGCUCGUGCCGUGAGGUGUAUGGUUAAGUCCCACAACGAGCGCAACCCUCGUCGCUAGUUAAUUCCCUAGCGAGACCGCCUCGCAAAACGAGGAGGAAGGCGGGGAUGGCGUCAAGUCAGCAUGGCCUUUAUACCCUGGGCGACACACACGCUACAAUGGGUGGUACAGUAGGUAGCGAAGGAGCGAUCCGGAGCAAAUCCUUAAAACCAUCCUCAGUACGGAUUGCAGGCUGAAACCCGCCUGCAUGAAGCCGGAGUUGCUAGUAACCGCAUAUCAGCAUGGUGCGGUGAAUACGUUCUCGGGCCUU
Molecule: ribosomal RNA, 335 nt
Filed under: uncultured Chloroflexota bacterium
Lineage: Bacteria; Bacillati; Chloroflexota
Description: bacterial SSU rRNA
Rfam family: Bacterial small subunit ribosomal RNA
Source: RNAcentral